This 252-nucleotide ribosomal RNA is filed under the name uncultured bacterium. Its description in RNAcentral is "partial 16S ribosomal RNA". It matches the Rfam family "Bacterial small subunit ribosomal RNA", at positions 524 to 776 of the family's 1533-position model. The record is from RNAcentral.
UACGGAGGAUGCGAGCGUUAUCCGGAUUUAUUGGGUUUAAAGGGUGCGUAGGCGGAGUGCCAAGUCAGCGGUAAAAAUUCGGGGCUCAACCCCGUCGUGCCGUUGAAACUGGCGCCCUUGAGUGGGCGAGAAGUAUGCGGAAUGCGUGGUGUAGCGGUGAAAUGCAUAGAUAUCACGCAGAACCCCGAUUGCGAAGGCAGCAUACCGGCGCCCGACUGACGCUGAAGCGCGAGAGCGUGGGUAUCGAACAGG